CCUUGGUCUAGCUCUUAUCGUGUGGAUAUGGCCUCUUCCCUCUAACAUAGUUAAUCACGUCUUCAUUCUAUUGGAAAGCAGAAACUAACUUAUCAAAUCCCUGGACACCAGUACCAGCUAGCUCACAGAGAUCAUUGUACCUAUCUUUGAAAUUGUUGUAGAAGUUGAGAUCCAUUAUCCUAUCAGCAGCAUCAUAAGCAUCCGGG
This 206-nucleotide long non-coding RNA is filed under the name Capsicum annuum. RNAcentral describes it as "long non-coding RNA (CANN_LNC006732)". The record is from RNAcentral. Lineage: Eukaryota; Viridiplantae; Streptophyta; Magnoliopsida; Solanales; Solanaceae.